AUACCUCUGACUUGAUCAACACAACUUAUGAUUCUUCUACCAACUUUAACACUCUUGAUUCACCCUUAAACCCCACCAUUCUGAUGACAUCACGUUGCUUCACUGAUCUUCACUCUUGAGUAGCAUAGUUUCCAACUAUGCUAUCCCAUUACUAAACCAAAACUUCUUAUUCAUUGUCUUGACAGAACCGACAUAAGCACUCAAUCUUAUUUCUUUAACUUGCUAACCCGACCCAUACUUGGAUUUAUAUCUUUCUCGACUUGAAAUCACUAGCUUGAUCAGUACUAGUCCACCUUAAGAUACCUCUCAAACUAGGAUUUAUCCAACUUUCGUAGGUAAAUCCUCUCUAGAAACUCACCGGUUAUAGUACUUCAACUAUAAUAAUGAGUUCUCUUCACCACAUUCCCAUUAGACAACUAGCCUUCACACUUAUGAUUUCUCUGCCCU
RNAcentral lists this long non-coding RNA (447 nucleotides) under Vigna radiata. RNAcentral's name for it is "long non-coding RNA (VRAD_LNC017748)". The record is from RNAcentral. Lineage: Eukaryota; Viridiplantae; Streptophyta; Magnoliopsida; Fabales; Fabaceae.